Molecule: ribosomal RNA, 450 nt
Filed under: uncultured bacterium
Lineage: Bacteria
Description: partial 16S ribosomal RNA
Rfam family: Bacterial small subunit ribosomal RNA
Source: RNAcentral
AUGCACGCUGGCGGCGUGCCUCACCCCUGCAAGUCGAGCGGCAGCGAGGGGUGCUUGCACCCUGUCGGCGAGCGGCGGACGGCUGAGUAACGCGUGGGAACGUGCCCCAAAGUGAGGAAUAACUGCCCGAAAGGGUAGCUAAUACCGCAUAUUAUCUUCGGAUCAAAGGAUUUAUCCGCUUUGGGAGCGGCUCGCGUCGGAUUAGGUAGUUGGUGAGGUAAUGGCUCACCAAGCCGACGAUCCGUAGCUGGUCUGAGAGGAUGACCAGCCAGACUGGAACUGAGACACGGUCCAGACUCCUACGGGAGGCAGCAGUGAGGAAUCUUCCACAAUGGGCGAAAGCCUGAUGGAGCAACGCCGCGUGCAGGACGAAGGCCUUCGGGUUGUAAACUGCUUUUAUAAGUGAGGAAUAUGACGGUAACUUAUGAAUAAGGAACGGCUAACUACGUG